Molecule: non-coding RNA, 4012 nt
Organism: Phoenix dactylifera (date palm)
Lineage: Eukaryota; Viridiplantae; Streptophyta; Magnoliopsida; Arecales; Arecaceae
Source: RefSeq, a predicted model, not a curated record
AUUAAGUCGGGAAGUGGAGUAAUUUUCUGCCGAGUUUAUUUUAAGAAACUUAUAAUUAGCUAAGAUUCAGCCGAGAAAGAAAAACUUUUAUUAUUUUUUAAUCCGGAAACGGUACAGCUGUCGACUUUAAUCCUUAUAUGGACCUCCUCCCCGCUCUUCCGUUACCUAACCUGUUUUUCCUCCGCGUUUUCGAAUUACCCAAAUCUUCUGUUCUUGCGUCGCGACGAGCGUGGCGUCGGCAUUCUUCUUCUUCUUUACUUCCCUAGAUCAGCACCGCUGAGGACGAGAACGAGGAGGAAGAGGAGGAGGAGGAGGUGCAGAAGCUGCCCUCAUCGGAGACAAAGUGAGCGAUCCGUCCCCACUUCCCUAUUUUCUUGCCUCUGCGUCGAAAUCCCGUGAUGGUUCUUGAUUUCUAGUUUGGUCUUGCAGUUAUAUGGUACUUUUCUCAAAUAUCAUGUUUUCUUGAUUAUUCUCUGAGUUCUUGUGAUGGUUCUUGAUUUCUAAUAUGGGUUUGGGUGAUAUAUUGGUGAUAGUUUUUUGGAUUCUAGAGAUGGUUCUUGGUUUCUAUUUUGGCUGGGUAUUUUAUGGUAGGUUACCUGUUCCUAAUUUCUUUCAUUUUCUUGGAUUCUAGUGGUGAUUCUUUUUAGGUUUUGAUGUUAUAUGGUGAUCUCCCUGUUGUGUUAUGUGCAGCUAUUUAAUGUGAUUUCUGUUGUUUAUUCUUUUGGAUAAUGUAUCUGUGCAGUCUUUUAUGAUGUUUUAAUUCUGAAUGAUAUAUUGGUGGCUAAAACAAGUUUCUUUAGUUCAGAUUUAAUGAGGUCUACCCUUGCAAGUAACUUUGCGGAUGUUGGAUGUGGUUUCUAUCAUAUUUCUUGCUCCUUGCCCUUUAGGUAGCUCAUAUGAUCAAUAUAUGUUUAACGAGAUCUUGUCAGAUUUUUCAUUUCUGUUUCAAUCCUUGUGUUUUGCUAUGUAUUUCAUACUGCAUGACGCAAACAAGGACUUCAGUAAAGAACUUUGAAGGUUUGCUGGUAUAGGUAUCUUUGCCAUUCCUUCGUUCUUGUAUUUCUUUCAAACCUUGAGAUGGUUCUUGACUGGUAGUUUGGAUUUGGCAUUAUAAGCUAAUUCCCCCAUUCUUCUUGUUUUCUUGAAAUUUUCAUAUUGUUCUUGAUUUCUAGUUUGGUGUUGGUGUGUUAUGGUGAUAUCUCUUUACAACUGUCCAACAUUAAGAAUUUUUGAAGAUUUGAUAUGUGUCGGGAUCUUCUGCUGCAUUGCUUUUCUUUUUUAUUUUCUAAUUUUUAGAAUCUUCUGCAUCACUCUUGAAGCUGUGACAGUUUUAUUUAUGAACACUGAAAGAUCUAAUGUGGCUUUUAUUUUCUCUCGGUUUUUCUAUGAACCAUGUGGUUGUGGGAACUUCCAAGAUCUUAACUUUAGUAAAUUAAUUUAUGUUAAUCAAUUGCUUUUUAGUAUAUUUAAAUUGGUGAUAAAAUUGUGUUGUGUUUUUUUGGGUGGCUUUAAAUUAUUGUAAAUGCUAGCUAUCAUCUACUUCUCCAUAGGCAAGUUACUGCACUGUGUAUGAAAGAAGGAAUUUAUUAGAUGUUUUUGAAAAAACUAUAAAAGAAUAGAAUAUGCAUUGGAAAUAUGUUUAAAGGUAUAAAUUAUAACCUAUUAGCUGAACCAAAUUAUUUGGAUGGGGCUUGAUGUUUAUGGUUAUAAAUGAAACCUAUAUUAUUUUAAAAAAUGGAGGCUUUAACCUGUCUAAUGUUUUAUCAAAAAAUCCAUUACCUUUUAUUAAGGGAAUGUCAUGAAAGAACUAAUUCCGAUAGGUUACUUUGUUAACCUUGAACUCAGCACAUGUGAUUCAGAUGACUGAUUAAGAACCAAUUAUUGACUAAGGCUCAAAUCUUAUAAUCAAAGCACACGUUCCUCAGCUCAUGUAAUGCAUAUAACUUUUGUAAGGUGCUAAUUAUGAUAUAUUUUUUGAGCCUUUUCCUCCCCCACCCACACCCAAAAAUAAAAAAAUAAAAAAAAUCACUUACCCCCUUUGUCCCUCCCUCUCCCUCUCUUGUCUUCUUGUGCAGUUUUAAUUGGACCUUAAAUUUCUCUCUUCUCUGCAUCUCUUGACCACCAUUUCUUUGUGCCUUAACAUUUUUCUUUUCCUUUAUCUUCUAUAUAUGUUCUAAUGCCAAAUUAUUGAUGUGUCUGUGGACAUUGUGGGAAAUUUUGCACCUUAGUUGGGGCGUUCAGAGGAUAAUUCUCCCCCCAUGCUCUUAGCUCUCUCUCUCUCUCUCUUCCUGAAUUCUAAUUCUAAUACAGAUAUCUUUCUUCUGUCAUCUUCUUUGUCUCUUUUAUUGUUAACUCUUUGUUUCUUGAGACGAAUAAGAGAAGCCAAAAUGUUUAACUUUUAGAGGUGAUUAGUUGAUUUCACUUGAGUAGGUUUUGUUGAGAAAAUGAUACUUUCUUGCGGGGACUUCUAUGUUGAGUAAGAAAAGAUGAUAGCUAUAUAUACUAGUUUGGAUCGCCUAAAUUUUUAAUUGUUUUGGGCCUUUUCAGAAGGACAUGGUGAAUUGACAUGCAUUCACCAUAUUAUAUGUUGAAUAAGAAAAGAUGAUAGCUAUGCAGAUGUUUUUUAAGGUGGCUUAGAUGGACCAAAAGAUCGUAACUUAGUAAUGCAAGAAAUGUCCUCUUUUUUCUUUUUUGUUGUUGUUACAUGCAUUCAACAUUCUCUUCAAGGGUUUCCCGAAAUGGUUGGAAACUUUUCCUAUCUUGUUCUUGAUUGAUUAUGUCACGUGGUGUCAGAGCUAUGCAAGGAUUUUUAAUAAUUGAAGAUUUGUGCUGUUUCACUGAAUGUUAUGGUUUUUGGACUUUCCAGUAUUUGUUGAUCCAUUCUGUCACAGGCUUUCUGUCAAUGAUUGAAGUAAUUUUCAUUACAACAAUAUAAGUUUAUUAUUUUUAUGUUCAGUCAUUUAAAAUAAAAUACUUGUUUACUUGAUGAAUUUGAUGUUCUUUGGUUUUUUUCUUCUUUCUUUUGACAUUUUUGCACUUCUUUAAAUUUUGGUUGUCUCAUCUAGUUUAAUGGUUGAUCUUUUUUACUAAUGUUUUAAUAGAAUUUUUGCUUAUUUCAAUUCUUGAUGGCCAUUGGAGUUUCUUCCAAAGUUUUUAUGGUCUGGGUAUCAUAGAGCAUGGUUGUAAUGAUCUUAUGCAUUGAUAACCAUGGACAUUGUAUCAGGUUUGCAGCAACUUGUACACACUAUAAAUUGAAUCGUGCCCUUGUAUGAAUCAUCAAGUUCAUUUUAUACGAAUCGGCUGACUAUGGCAGAUGCUCUUGAUUUAUCCCCCAAGUGACUUCUGAGGUGGACAAAGAGAAACUGAUGCUAUGAUCUUGACAAGUGUAAUCAUGAUCUAAUAGGCCUACCUCUGCUCUGUCAUUGACUGGUUUAAUUCAGGAUUGGUCGCUGCCUCGCCCAUCUCCUUAUGCAGUCAUUUCUUGGAUCCUCUCUCUCUCUCUCUCAGACACACAUAUGAAAGCACAUAGAGAUGAUGACGACCACCCCUUGUUGUAUGAUGAAAUUAUAUUGCAAUGCGAACUCCUGGGAUUGGAUCACAAAUUUCACUUGUGUAUAGAAAACACAUUUUUUUGAGCUAAAGUUUUGAUAAUUCACACAAACUACAUGCAAAUUUGGAGGCUGGGAGAUGGUUCGAUCGACAAGCUCAUCCAGUCUAACCAUUCAAGGAUGAGCAAUGCAAGUGUUUUGAGCUGACCUUUGGGAUUUGAAACCUUGAGGCUUUGCUAGAAUAAAGUUCCCCAGAGGCUGGGUGAGGUGAGAGGGGCUUCUUCUUUGGCUUUAAAUUUGCAUUGCUUAUUUUUUGGCUUUUAAAUUUGCAUGCUAGCGUGUUGGUUGGUGAUUGAGGGUCUUCUUUGGCUUGGUAUCUUGAACCCCUUGCUGACCAAGUAGGAAAUCUCGUUAGCGUUUGGUGUUUGGCGCUGAGAUCAAGUUAAUGGUAUGAAUUGAAAAUA